This 580-nucleotide long non-coding RNA is filed under the name Mytilus galloprovincialis (Mediterranean mussel). The record is from RNAcentral. Lineage: Eukaryota; Metazoa; Mollusca; Bivalvia; Mytilida; Mytilidae.
UAAUUAAGUGCUAGCUAAAACAUAAUUAGGGACUUGGAAAAUUUACUUGCAUGCUUUCAUAUUGUAUGUACUUUGAUCUAUUGGAUAUUUUAUCGUUCGACUAAUGUCGUUCCGACAUUAGGUCUUAAGAGAGGGGGAGUGUAAUGGUGGUUAGUUUUACCUUAUAAUUAAUUCAUAUUAAACCUGCUUUGUAAUUAUAAUAGCUUCUAAACUGCCGUACUGGCCGUAGUUAGCUAUGAGGUUACCGGGCCUACCGGUCUUCUUCCUGUAGGACCGGCCCGUGCCGGUCUGAUGUCUCAUGACGUCAGACUAGAGUUUUGCGUUAGUUCUGCACUUACAUACUGACUGAGAAAAGAAAACACUGAACUUCACCUUCUUCAGGUUGAUAUUUUUAUUAAUACUACGUUUAUAACCACCAUUAUGUCUCAUUUCGCCAUUCUAAACAUUUAGAGUAUUACAUGUAUUAUUCAUUGUAAACUGUGCAAAAAUCUAUUUGGCUUAGAUUAAAUCUAUAUUAUUAGUAACGUAUUCUGUUUUCUAAUAUUCCGUGAACUCGGGAAAACUCAUUCCCGUUACAAUA